Molecule: long non-coding RNA, 3912 nt
Organism: Caretta caretta (loggerhead turtle)
Lineage: Eukaryota; Metazoa; Chordata; Testudines; Cheloniidae
Source: RefSeq, a predicted model, not a curated record
CUCCUUUUCUUUUUGCGAAUACAGACUAACACGGCUGUUCCUCUGAAACCAGUAUAAUUUAUGUCACUCGGGGAUGUGAAUAAUCCACACCCCUGAGGGACAUAGGUUAUACUGACCUAAGCACUGGUGUAGAUGGUGCUAUGUUGGUGGGAGAGCUUCUCCUACCAACAUAGCUACCACCUCUUGCAGAGGCAGAAUUUAUUAAGCUAACAGUCCUGUCGUCUUAGAGCAGUGAUUCUCAAACUUUUGUACUGGUGACCCCUUUCACACAGCAAGUCUCUGACUGCGACUCCCCUCCCUUAUAAAUUAAACCACUUUUUAAUAUAUUUAACACCAUUAUAAAUACUGAAGGCAAAGCGGGGUUUGAGGUGGAGGCUGACAGCUUGUGACCCCACACAUCAUAACCUCAUGACCCCAAGGGGUCCUGACCCCCAGUUUGAGAACCCCUAUGUUAGAGUAUCUUCACCAGAAGCACUACAACAGUUCAGCUGCGCCACUGUAAAUCAUGUAGUGUAGACAUAGCCAAGAUCUCUUCCUAUUCCCAUAUAGCAACAGGCAAGAGGGACUAGGAUAAAGCUGGGAACUCAAUGUUCUGGUAGCUACUAAAAGAUGCUAUUGUUAGUUAUGGUUGUAGUAGGACUGUGAUGAGUAUCUUGACCCCUACCACAAUUAUACGUGUGUCCAAAUAAUUCUCAGCUGUGAGAUCAAUGUAUCAUGUUUGAGUCACACUUAAAGUCCAAGUCAUUUUGGAAGGUGAUCCAAGUACUAGAUAUACACUACUUUAGAAUAUUCUUCUGUAGAAUUAAUGAAAUUAAAUGAGAUGUUUAUUUGAAAUGACAUAGAUCAUAUUUUUAAACUACUUGAAGUCUCACCUAAAAUUUUCUACUUCUCACUUGUUACUCUAUUAUGUACAUUAAUGUGUUUGUCAAACUGUCACCUUUCAAAACUUAAUUCUGCUUAGUGACCCCAUGAAUAAAGGAGUCUACCUUUAAAAAAAAAAAGUUUAAUUAAGCAGUUAAUGGUGGACUCCAUCAUGGAAUAGCAAGCCUAAAGUAAGUUUCAUAUGAAAGAAGUAACUACAUCAGCAAGUAUACUGAAGAGUUCAGACAGUAUCUUUGGUCUAGCCUUCACACUCUUAAGCCAGAACAAUAAUUGGAUAUAUUCAGCUUUGUAACUAAUCCUGUUGAUUCAGAAAUAUACCAGGGAAGAUGAAUAGCUGCUCAAAAUAUUAGUGGCUCUCAUACAAUGAUCAGAUAUACAGAUAAAUGUACAUAUCUACUCUACCAUGUAGAUUUUCUUAGACUGAUUGUCAGUUUUCUAAAGGGUGAAAUGAUUGCUUUGUGCCGCAGAUGAGAUCUGCCUAAUGCUCAUCAAUGAUUCCUCUAGAAGGCCACUCCAAAUAACCCUGUAGGACAUUUUAUGUCUUCUACUGUCAGUAUGGAAAAUCGUCUCUGUUUGGAAAGAUAUACAAGCUGUCAUCUUGGAAUAUAAAUUAAGCCUGGAGAAAGAAUGCCAGACCACCAGAAAGAGAAAUCACAUUUGAAGUGUGACUGAUGAUGGCAUAAAGAUUUUUUUAUUUUUUCAAUUAACAAAAAAUCUUAUGCCUUCAUCGCAGCAAAGAAAGUUUUCUUCUUUUUAACCGUCAAGUCAUAGUCAACAGAACUGUUCCUGGUGGUGAAUCAGGGCUGCCUACCACCUCCUACUCUGUGGACAAAAAAUGUCAACCAUAUUCAGAAUGGACUAGCUAAUUCCAUGAAGGAGAGAGUGUCAUAAGCCAGACUGGUAUGAAUCAAACCUAACUACAGUACUGGGUUGUUCCAAUAACCUGUGUAAAUAUCCAAUAUUUAGUUAUGGAAUAAUUUUAAAAUUCAAGUGUUACAUUAUUUACAGCUUAGUCAAGAAUGAACAGUAACACCUGAGCAAAGUAACACCUCCUUUCACUUUACUAAAGGAGACUUUGAUUUGUAGUGAGAGGUUUUAGUAGUCUGAGCAGAAUACCAGAACCAGAAGUUUUAAUUUGGUAGUGAAGAUAAGUCAUGUUAAAAUAUGAAUUCACAAUCCCAUUACUUGUGGUCAGCACUGUUUCACACAACUGGCCACUGUAAACAAGGACGAGGUUGUGUUCAGCACUGUCAGUAAUAAGAAACCCUGUGCCCAAUACCAUAUACCCAUGACUUCCUGAAUGAUACUGAACUGAUCAUGUACUAGUUGUUUAAACUCCAUUUUGAACUAUUAAUCUGGGAAAGUCAAGACCACACUGAUACCCUGUGGCCUCAGAAAAAGUCAACCUCUCUUGCUUAGUUGUUCCAUCCGCAAAAUGCAGAAGAUAAACUCACUCAUUUCACAAGGUUAUGUGGACUAGUUAAUGUUACAAAGCCCUUUGCAGAUAGCAUUAUAAGUGUCAAGUGCUAUUUCUAUGUAGGUAACUGCUGUCCUUGAUAACGUUAAGACUUACAAAGUGCACCAAUAAAUGCCAGAGUUAUAUAAUUCCAAAAAGAGGACAAGACUUUAGGGGGGGAGGAAAGUAGCAGAGCCUUGUUUCCUUUCAGACCAAAGUACUUGGGGGAACAGCUCCAGUUCUACUCAUUUUUCUAUGCAUUGGAAUUUUUAAAAAAAACUAAUACAUUCACUUCAAAGCUUACACCCUCUACCUCCAGUUCCUUUAUGGGUAAGAAGAAGGUUGAAACAGCUCUUGGGAGAGAGUGAAGGAAAGAGAGGUUCUUCCCUUAGCUGGGAAAUUGAAAUUGAAAAACUAAAAGAAAAGGGCAGGGUUGCUAUCAAUAUGUUAGUUUUAGGAAGGGCAAGGAAGAAGCACCACAAACCUCACAUGCCCACAUAGAUAUAAAUUACCAUUUAAACCUACAUUCAUUGGAAGGUUGGGAUAAUUAACAUGGAGGAGAUGCAUUCCAGAUACCAAAAACAUUAUUCAUAAAUUGAACCAGAUUGUGACCAUUAUGUUUCUGAAUGUUUGAUGUUAAACUGAAGUAUCUGAAAACUAAAAAUACAAUCAGUACUUGUAGAACUAUUUUAGCCAUUAUGUGUUUAUAAAUUAUUAUUUUCCCAACCCUCCUAAGAGUCCGUAAAUUGGUUUGCGAAUUGAAACUGCAACAGAUUAGAGCUAAAACAUUUUUGCAGUUGUACUCAUUCUUUAAAGUAACAGACUUCAAAAUGGUUACAUAUCUUAAGAUGAGCUUGUUGAAACUUUGAGAAAGGAUACUACAUGACAUCUACAGAAUAAAGCAAGUUUGUUUUUAAGAUUUACAAGCACUCCCUCAUUAAUAAAGCUUCACAAUCUACAAAGAGAAAAAUCUUUCACUAGUGGCUUCAUAAUUAUUAGCCAUGUAAAAGAAAAAUGUGAUUAAAAAAGUUAGACAGAUAUACACUAGUGAAACUUAUUGUCAUCUACGGUCACUUAAUAAUAGGAAGAGUUCUUAGGAGUGAAGAGUCCAUAUCCCUAAUUAUAAAUCCAUUGUUACAUAAAAUAUUAAAAUUCACAUCCUAGAGAAAGGAUAUUAGAGAAUUGUUAAAUCCAAGUGUGAAACUAAUCCUUAUGUUAGGAUUUCCAGCUCACUGAGUAAGUUCUAUGGUCACCGCUGAUCAGAUAGAAGAGGUCAUGAUUUGUGAGCCCAGUAAGACACAUAUUUCCUUUCCCAACCCCUGCUGUUUAACUCUGUCCUGCAGGGCAAAUUGUUUAACAACUUUUUUGUUAAACUGCUUGUUAACAAGGCUAUAGGGAACACAAGAUGCAUAUCACAUGCAUCCAUUCACAAUAUACUGCAAUUGCAGCCCAAAGGGUUAAGACUAGGCGUUAAAUAAGCAAGUGAAUGGGAUUAUGUACUGUACUUUAUGCAUCCGAUGAAGUGAGCUGUAGCUCACGAAAACUUAUGCUCAAAUAAAUUGGUUGGUCUCUAA